This 567-nucleotide ribosomal RNA is filed under the name uncultured fungus. RNAcentral's name for it is "eukaryotic LSU rRNA". The stretch from base 130 to 283 matches the Rfam family "5.8S ribosomal RNA". Lineage: Eukaryota; Fungi. The record is from RNAcentral.
AGACCCCUUCACACCUGUGCACGAACCCGUCGGACGGGAGUGGUGCAUCACGCGCCCUCCGGUCUGGCCCUUCACAUCAGCUUAUUAUCGUACGUCGAAUGCAUCACUGCGCACGCGCAACCGAAAUACAACUUUUAACAACGGAUCUCUUGGUUCUCGCAUCGAUGAAGAACGCAGCGAAAUGCGAUAAGUAAUGUGAAUUGCAGAAUUCAGUGAAUCAUCGAAUCUUUGAACGCACCUUGCGCUCCUUGGUAUUCCGAGGAGCAUGCCCGUUUGAGUGUCUUGAUAUCAUCAAACGCCCCUGCCUUUUCUGGUGGGUCGGCGAUUUGGACUUGGACGUGCUGCUGGGCGCUCUGCGCUCGGCUCGUCUUGAAUGCAUUAGCUGGAUCUCCCUCCGGCCUUGGACCUUAUGGCGUGAUAAGAUCACCCGUCGAGCAGUCCUUGGUCAACGUUGGGUUCCGCUUCCAACCGUCCCCCCGUGGACAACACCGAAACCUGGUUUUCGACAUCUGACCUCAAAUCGGGUAGGACUACCCGCUGAACUUAAGCAUAUCAAUAAGCGGAGGA